Molecule: long non-coding RNA, 315 nt
Filed under: Solanum tuberosum (potato)
Lineage: Eukaryota; Viridiplantae; Streptophyta; Magnoliopsida; Solanales; Solanaceae
Description: long non-coding RNA (STUB_LNC008735)
Source: RNAcentral
AAUAACAAAAAAUGUUGGAUGGAGAUUGCUGUUCCUGCUGUUCUAAUUGCACCUAAUAGGAUUUCAAUUUCUCCUCAGCUAGAGACAAUAUUUGAAGAAAAAGAUUUUGAGGAUUCUAAUUUUUAUGAAAUCAUUUCUAGGAUAGGGGAAUGUGUUUUAUUCCCUAAAGUGUUGAGAUCAGUGAAGUUGAAAUGAUUUUAGAAUUGUUAUUUUCUGAUGGAACUUAUUGUUCAUCCCUUUUCAUGAGAAAUUUAGUCUCAAUAAAUUUUCUCGUUUAAUCGUAAUUGUGCUAGUGUUAUUUGUAUUCAGAGUUGC